Non-coding RNA from Eimeria tenella, 53 nucleotides. The record is from Rfam. Lineage: Eukaryota; Apicomplexa; Conoidasida; Eucoccidiorida; Eimeriidae.
UAUGCAAAAGUCGUAACACGGUUUCCGUAGGUGAACCUGCGGAAGGAUCAUUC